Aedes albopictus (Asian tiger mosquito) is the source of this 1259-nucleotide RNA transcript. RefSeq lists it as uncharacterized. Lineage: Eukaryota; Metazoa; Arthropoda; Insecta; Diptera; Culicidae. The transcript is spliced from 3 exons. The record is from RefSeq and is a predicted model, not a curated record.
UCGGCAUUUUCCCUUGCGUCAGUCUCUACGCGAAGCUUGUGAUGAGUGGUUGUUUGUCCGUCGUCGGUUUUUCGGUCUGUUUUUGAGUUUUUGCUUGUUUGCUUGAACUAAUCUUGAAAACUAGUGAGAUCCUCAAGUGGUUGUCUAAACAUCAUUUCAACACCGUCGAUAUUUUGCGGAGAGGUGUUCCUAUCGAAUGAUGUCAAGCAGCAGCGAGAAGAAAACGCAACGACAAUAAUGAUGGGAAAAAGUUGAAGGUGUUUCAAAAUCAAAACCUUGUCGCGGGGUGUAGUCACUUCGGGAGGUGAAAAAAUCAGAGAUAAAAUUUGGCAAUCAUUGUGCAUUUUGAGCAAGUGUGGAAACCUGUCGAAAGAUUGCGCGUGGCGUCCGGGGAAGAGGCCAGCACUGGAAGGUAGCAGAAACUAAUUGGAUUUUGCCAUCAAAUCGAAGCUUUCUACCGAUUUGUUUACGACGAGAAAAAGUUUGUCUACAAUUUUUUAGUGUUUCCGAAGAAUUAGUGGUUCGGAAUCAGUUGUGUGUGCGUUAAUACCGAAGAAGCACAAAAAAAAGAGUCGAUUUUUGUUGGGUAUGAUCGAUAUUCAUCUUCAUAGCUGGAUAAAGUGGUUCCGAUUCGAAACGGAAUAAGUGAAGGACGUAGAAAAGGUCCUUAAAGUAUCAUUGGAUAUCUACAUCAUCACUGGUUUUAAUUGUGUUGUCAGAAGACGAAAAAGGGGCAUUAGUCAUUAGUCAGCAAUCGCACAUCGACACCACCAGCAACAGCAGCAGAAGAUAAGCUGUGACCACGUGAUCUCACUCUAUCCUCAAGCCAGCUUCCCCUGUUCAUAUUGCUCCAUUCGCCGCAACGUUAAAUAUUCACAAUGUACAUAGCGAAUCAGCGUCCGGCCGAAUCAUAGACAACAUUUCCGACGUCACAUUGGAUUGCGGACUGAUGCGAUGAGGUAAUACCGCAUAUACUUGACAACUACCGCGCGGUCCAUCUUGGAGCAACACAUUACCCUAGUGUGACCCGCGUCGCGUGCGCUGCUGAGCAGAAAACGAAAACUCCGUGCAACGAAAGAAACAAAAAAAAACGUUAAAAACACAUUAAAACAACAAACUGUUAAUGCGAACCUAAAACACAUCGCCAUACGGCACCGUAGUCGUCGGUCGAAAAAUGAUUUCAUUGGAGCACAUUGUGGAAUUCAACGACAGAGACGACGGCUACAGUGACGAUAGCCACAGCGGAGCAACACCCAAAU